AUGGCUACAAUUAGCCAAAAGGGGCACAUUUACAAAAAUUUUCCUGUGAUGUUCCAUCGAGAAAAGAGUGAAAAUCAGCUUCACACCUGGAGACUUCCUGUAUCGGGCACAGUCCAGAGAAAGAAGAUCACCAGAGUAUUAAGAUUCAUCUAUAAGAACAUAGCAUCACCCAACAACCACACCCCUCCUCGGGACCACACCCCACCAACAGCACAGCUCCUCACCGUGGACACGACCCACAGGAUCCUCUUCUUGGUGGCAGCAGCCACCGGUGCCCACUCCCAGGUGCAGCUGGUGCAGUUUGGGCCUGAGGUGAAGCAGCCUGUGGCCUCAGUGAAGGUCUUCUGCAAGGCUUCUGGUUACAACUUUACCACCUAUGGUAUGAAUUGGGCGAGACAGGUCCCUGGAGAAGGGCUUGAGUGAAUGGGUGGAUGAACAUCAACACUGGGAACCCAAUGUAUGCCCAGGGCUAAACAGGAUGAUUUGUCUUCUCCAUAGACACCUCUGUCAGCACGGCGUAUCUGCAGAUCAGCAGCCUAAAGGCUGAGGACACGGCCGUGCAUUACUGUAUGAGAGACACAGUGUGGAAACCCACAUCCUGA
RNA transcript from Mandrillus leucophaeus (drill), 602 nucleotides. It is a transcript of the gene named Ig heavy chain V-I region V35-like, with no coding region annotated. The record is from RefSeq and is a predicted model, not a curated record. The transcript has 3 exons. NCBI's taxonomy places the organism in Eukaryota, Metazoa, Chordata, Mammalia, Primates, Cercopithecidae.